UUUCGCAAUGCCCGAAAGGGUGACGAAGCGACGCCGCGUGUGGGAAGAAGGCCUUCGGGUUGUAAACCACUGUCGGGAGUUAGGAAAUGCAGGUGCGUUAAUAGCGCACUUGCUUGACUAAGGCUCCAGAGGAAGCCACGGCUAACUCUGUGCCAGCAGCCGCGGUAAUACAGAGGCGGCAAGCGUUGUUCGGAAUUAUUGGGCGUAAAGAGCACGUAGGCGGCCUCGCAAGUCAGUUGUGAAAGCCUUCCGCUUAACGGAAGAACGGCAUCUGAUACUACAGGGCUUGAGUACGGGAGGGGAGAGUGGAACUUCUGGUGGAGCGGUGAAAUGCGUAGAUAUCAGAAGGAACGCCGGCGGUGAAAGCGACUCUCUGGUCUGAAACUGACGCUGAGUGUGCGAAAGCUAGGGGAGCAAACGGGAUUAGAUACCCCGGUAGUCCUAGCCGUAAACGAUGGGCACUAAGUAGAGGGGUUUU
Molecule: ribosomal RNA, 478 nt
Filed under: uncultured Planctomycetales bacterium
Lineage: Bacteria; Pseudomonadati; Planctomycetota; Planctomycetia; Planctomycetales
Description: bacterial SSU rRNA
Rfam family: Bacterial small subunit ribosomal RNA
Source: RNAcentral